UGCUUCCCUCUCGUCUCGCGAUUUCGUUUUGUCGAAGCUUUCGUCCUUCGCUCCAUCACACGCACUCGCGUUCCAGCGUCGCCAGCGUGCCGUCCUUGCCGGUUCAUUCGGCCGUCGCCGUUUGGUUCGCGCCCCGCUCGAAGUUGCUGCAGUCGUUUGAGCGACCGGACGUUAGCGGUUUCCUCCGGAGAGGUUGCAGUUGCUGAUCGGCGAGGAUGGCUGGUACGACGCCAGUGACGGUGGCCGUUGAGUACUGUGGUGGAUGAGGGUACGCCCCUCGCUUCGAAGAACUGAAGCGGCAGAUCCUCGGCCAGGUACCAAAGGCCACUGUGACUGGCACAGUGGGACGCAGAUUGUCCUUUGAAGUUGUAAUCAAUGGUGUCGUGGUGUUCUCAAAGCUUGAGAAGGGUGCCUUUCCAGUCUUUGGAGAGGUCGUCCAAAAAGUACUCGAAGCCAGCAAUGGCAAAGAGGUGAAGCCUUGCGAGGGGGUUGGCAGCAGAUGCACCAUAUUAUAGCACGACACAUCGUUGGACAUUUGCUCUGCUGGAUGACCGUGCAGUUUACUUUCCUGGACAAUAGCCAAAGGCUCUGGAAAUACGCACAAAUGAUGGCUUGGCCCCAAACCUUGAAAAGGGUCUUGCCUGAAGAACCAGCGUCUUCCUACCUGGUGCUACUUGCUCUGUGGAAAGCCAAUCAUGUAUGGACUAUGCAGAAGUAAAUGAAUUGUUGUUGUUUUCAUUUU
Rhipicephalus sanguineus (brown dog tick) is the source of this 742-nucleotide long non-coding RNA. RefSeq lists it as uncharacterized. The record is from RefSeq and is a predicted model, not a curated record. The transcript has 5 exons. Lineage: Eukaryota; Metazoa; Arthropoda; Arachnida; Ixodida; Ixodidae.